RNAcentral lists this unclassified non-coding RNA (864 nucleotides) under Hevea brasiliensis (rubber tree). The record is from RNAcentral. Lineage: Eukaryota; Viridiplantae; Streptophyta; Magnoliopsida; Malpighiales; Euphorbiaceae.
AACAAAUCAAUCAACAAAGUUCUAGAUGCAUUCUUAGAUCUGCGAAUAAAGGUAAUGAAGGUAACAUUUUAAUGAAUAACUACAGCAAAUUCAAACAAAGGAGAUGACAUGAGUAGAGGCACUGCUAACAAAUAGCUGCUAUAACUCUUUAGAAAUAAUUUUCCAAAAAAAAAUUCUCAUGUCAUGUCCUUACUCCCAAAGUAUGCAUUUGAUGCAAUGAAGCUCCAGAGCGCCUAGCACACUAGACAAUGAAAAAAAAUGCAGAUAUUUUAACACGUGACAGCAGCUAUAAACAGAACGCAUGAUAAGGAUUAGCUUAGGGAUUGUGUGAUUGGGGAUUGGUUUCAUUUGGAUUGGAAUUAGGGGGUCUCAAUCUAAUUUCAUUUUGCGAUGUUAAAGUCAAAGCAAUGAGUCUUGUUUUGCUGCAUCUAGAGUGUAAUGAAAUUACCGAUUUGCUGAUGAGGCAAUUGGUUUGGUUUAUGCUUAAUAGUUUUGAUCAGGUUUUCUCUGAUGUAAAAUUGGCCGUUGGUUCUGUACAUAGAGUGCCAUUGAUGGGUAUUUGUUCUGAAAUGUGAAUAUUAUCAUAUGAAGGGAAUGUUAUUGCUUUCUUUUGAGUGCUGCCUACAGUCUUUUUUGGAUUGGAAAGGGAAAAAAAAGUUAUUGAUCACAUCAUGGCAAACUUCCUUUUUUGGCUCUUUCAAUUUUGGGUGUAUGAAAUUUUAUGGAUACUUGUUGGUGUUAAAUCAUAAUGUUGGAGAUCAAUACCGAAAGAAAUAGAGUGGAGUUACUUCCUAUUGUAACUUGAAAUGGUUGGUUGUGUGAUGCAUUUAAGUUGUGAUCAUCAUAUAGCAAGCAAUAUUCACA